AUUGCUAAUAUGAAGGUACCUGAACAACAACAAUGUAAUACUUUGAAUUCUUGAAAUCACUGCAAUCAAUGAUAUCCGAUGGAGCCUGUGUAUUAACCAGGACGAUGCUUUUGCAGAGGUGAUCAACGGAGGCGGCACCCAGAAUGUCCCGUCGGGCUUCAAGAGACCAGUCGUAGUAAUCUGAGGGAACCCUUUUAAAGGAGAAGUCAUGGACACCAUUGGAUCGGAGAAUUGCGGUGAGGCAAGCUUCAGUGUCGUCGCCGGCGGCUGUCCUGCAACAGUUUGCGUCGGGGGAGUAUACAGAUGCGGAAGCAGAGAGAUUGUUUUGAGGAAGGAAAGAAAGCUCGAGCUUCGAUAUUCGUUGGAGGAUUAGUGUUUGCAGUCGCUCCACCUCUGCUAGUUCUGCCUCCAUCAUGCGUCCUUCCUUUCCUCUCUCAAUCUUGCUCCGCUUGGGCUUCAGAGUUCCGUCUUUCAGAUUGUGGGUUGAGCUGUAAUCUUGUGUGCUUUUUUUUUUCUUUUCAAUUUUAACAUGAUUUUUCAAUCCAUCCCAAUCUGAGAACC
Molecule: unclassified non-coding RNA, 561 nt
Filed under: Hevea brasiliensis (rubber tree)
Lineage: Eukaryota; Viridiplantae; Streptophyta; Magnoliopsida; Malpighiales; Euphorbiaceae
Source: RNAcentral